RNAcentral lists this ribosomal RNA (497 nucleotides) under uncultured bacterium. RNAcentral describes it as "partial 16S ribosomal RNA". It matches the Rfam family "Bacterial small subunit ribosomal RNA", at positions 28 to 507 of the family's 1533-position model. The record is from RNAcentral.
GAUGAACGCUGGCGGCGUGCCUAAUACAUGCAAGUCGAGCGAACGGACGAGAAGCUUGCUCCUCUGAUGUUAGCGGCUGACGGGUGAGUAACACGUGGAUAACCUACCUAUAAGACUGGGAUAACUUCGGGAAACCGGAUCUAAUACCGGAUAAUAUUUUGAACCGCAUGGUUCAAAAGUUAAUGACGGUCUUGCUGUCACUUAUAGAUGGAUCCGCGCUGCAUUAGCUAGUUGGUAAGGUAACGGCUUACCAAGGCAACGAUGCAUAGCCGACCUGAGAGGGUGAUCGGCCACACUGGAACUGAGACACGGUCCAGACUCCUACGGGAGGCAGCAGUAGGGAAUCUUCCGCAAUGGGCGAAAGCCUGACGGAGCAACGCCGCGUGAGUGAUGAAGGUCUUCGGAUCGUAAAACUCUGUUAUUAGGGAAGAACAUAUGUGUAAGUAACUGUGCACAUCUUGACGGUACCUAAUCAGAAAGCCACGGCUAACUACGUG